RNAcentral lists this ribosomal RNA (450 nucleotides) under uncultured bacterium. RNAcentral describes it as "partial 16S ribosomal RNA". It matches the Rfam family "Bacterial small subunit ribosomal RNA", at positions 354 to 796 of the family's 1533-position model. The record is from RNAcentral.
GUGGGGAAUAUUGGACAAUGGGCGAAAGCCUGAUCCAGCCAUGCCGCGUGUGUGAAGAAGGUCUUCGGAUUGUAAAGCACUUUAAGUUGGGAGGAAGGGCAUUAACCUAAUACGUUAGUGUUUUGACGUUACCGACAGAAUAAGCACCGGCUAACUUCGUGCCAGCAGCCGCGGUAAUACGAAGGGUGCAAGCGUUAAUCGGAAUUACUGGGCGUAAAGCGCGCGUAGGUGGUUCAGCAAGUUGGAGGUGAAAUCCCCGGGCUCAACCUGGGAACUGCCUCCAAAACUACUGGGCUAGAGUACGGUAGAGGGUAGUGGAAUUUCCUGUGUAGCGGUGAAAUGCGUAGAUAUAGGAAGGAACACCAGUGGCGAAGGCGACUACCUGGACUGAUACUGACACUGAGGUGCGAAAGCGUGGGGAGCAAACAGGAUUAGAAACCCCUGUAGUCC